Non-coding RNA from Salmo salar (Atlantic salmon), 54 nucleotides. Lineage: Eukaryota; Metazoa; Chordata; Actinopteri; Salmoniformes; Salmonidae. The record is from Rfam.
UGCAUUCACUACUGUAAGUCGCUUUGGAUAAGAGCGUCUGCUAAAUUACGAAAA